This is a long non-coding RNA of Prosopis cineraria, 959 nucleotides long. RefSeq lists it as uncharacterized. Lineage: Eukaryota; Viridiplantae; Streptophyta; Magnoliopsida; Fabales; Fabaceae. The record is from RefSeq and is a predicted model, not a curated record. The transcript has 3 exons.
GAGACAGGGAGCUUCGAUUUCCUCCAGUCCACUGUCAUUCCUUCCCUUCUUCUGUCGUCCUCCACUGUACUUUAUCUCUCCCCUCUAGUUUCCGGUGAUCGCGCGGUGAAAGUGGAGACUCGGCGUCUCUAUGUGAUGCCCAGGUUGUCCGUCGUGCUUCCCUGUCUCUACGUGUCUUCUUUGUUGCUUCUCUGUUCUCGCUGUUCACGUACACGUAGCUGGGGUCCGAGAAUCAGGUCGCCGGAGCUGCUCGUGAUCUUCUUUUUCCUUCUUCUUCUAUUGUUGCUGUGGUUGAGUGCAUCUGGUCUUUGACUCCCUUUAGCCUGCUUGUGCAUUUCCGAAGAGAGAAAGAGGAGUGGUCUGCCAUUGGUUGAAGCUGGAAACAGGAGAACUCCUCUCCCUGUUCUGUCGGCUUCUUCUCGUUCUCUCCCUCCUCUGUUACUGUUGGUACUUAAGACAAGUGAAGUGCAGUAAAUCAAAACUACUGUAUAUGUUGGUUUUUGAAUGAGGUGACAUUAUCAUGGCUCCUGCAUCACGGUAAAUCAAAUAUAGAAGAAGCCAAAAUAAAGAGUUAUUUGAAGAUUUGCAAGACCCAAUCCUUCUUUUGUGGGACUGCAAUGUGACCGUAUUUGAUGAAGAGAACGAUGAUAUGUUUUUGGAUGAAUGAUUUCAUUUCCCCUUGACCAUUUGUUGUGAGCAGUAAUGAUAUAUUAAGUCCAAACCAAAUCGCUCAAGCAAAAUCAUGUGUCAUGGAUUUCAACCUCCCAAGCUUGUAAUUUUUCAUUGUGUCGAACUUAGUCCACUUCUUUAUCAAAAUAGAAUUAUGUUCCUGUAUUGGGGUAAAAAUGCUUAAUUAUCUCUCCCCUGAUGUUAAUAGGCUUGUUUCCUUCUUCUAGGUGGUUAAUAUUUUUCUGCUGAGGCAUUUAGAGGCUUUCAUCCUUAGUUCAAAUGAUCAUGUA